This 61-nucleotide ribosomal RNA is filed under the name Clavispora lusitaniae. RNAcentral describes it as "partial 28S ribosomal RNA". Lineage: Eukaryota; Fungi; Ascomycota; Pichiomycetes; Serinales; Metschnikowiaceae. The record is from RNAcentral.
UUUCGCCCUCAAAUCAGGUAGGACUACCCGCUGAACUUAAGCAUAUCAAUAAGCGGGAGGA